GAGUGUGCACUUAUAUGGAAUCUAUCUCCCUUGGUAGAUAGGGGCGUUAGUCCUAUGUGAUUUAUGAGACCGAGUUUAGAAGACCUUGGCCAGGCAAGAGUUAAUAGCGGAAAGGGGUUUCGUUAUUAGAAACUCGAGUCGAUUACCUUGACGAGUUAUUCCAUUACUUCUGUUUAGUCGGGACUCAUGAUAAAAGAAUUGUAUCACACGGUAACUGCACCAAGAGGUUCAGUAUUCUAUUUUACUUGAAUGCCACUACAUGCUGCUAGGUGUCACUGGUAGAUUGUGAUACUCAUGAGAAUUAUCUAGAUGAUCGAUAAUUCUCAUUGGGCUCAGUUGGAAUAGUUCUGAUCCACUGAAAGGAGUUUUAGUGAUAUUGUUGAUAGUGAUCAAAAUAUAUCUCAUUACUAGAUGGAAUAAAACUUAUGGGGUCACACACAUAAGAGGUUGUAACUGAUCGGAUAGCCAGAUCAUGAUUUUUGAAUCGUUGGAGGACCUAAUUGUCAAUAUGUUGAUAAUUGGACUAAUUUGUAGUUGUUACAAAUUAGUGGUAUUAAAGUAUAAAUGUUAUAAGAGAGGAUUACUAAUAGUUAGUAAAUUAUGAGAGGACUUAUAUGCAAAUGUUGUAUUAUUAAUUUGAUAUGAUCAAACUAAGAUAAAGUUCAAGUUGAAUCAAAUUACGAUUUGAUCGAUCUAACUAGUUAAGGAAAUGAUAAAUUUAAAUCUAGAUUUGUACUUAUCUUUAAUGGUC
RNAcentral lists this long non-coding RNA (751 nucleotides) under Ananas comosus (pineapple). RNAcentral describes it as "long non-coding RNA (ACOM_LNC024225)". The record is from RNAcentral. Lineage: Eukaryota; Viridiplantae; Streptophyta; Magnoliopsida; Poales; Bromeliaceae.